This 548-nucleotide ribosomal RNA is filed under the name uncultured Rhodocyclaceae bacterium. Its description in RNAcentral is "bacterial SSU rRNA". It matches the Rfam family "Bacterial small subunit ribosomal RNA", at positions 989 to 1533 of the family's 1533-position model. Lineage: Bacteria; Pseudomonadati; Pseudomonadota; Betaproteobacteria; Rhodocyclales; Rhodocyclaceae. The record is from RNAcentral.
UCCGGAAUCCCGAAGAGAUUUGGGAGUGCUCGAAAGAGAGCCGGAACACAGGUGCUGCAUGGCUGUCGUCAGCUCGUGUCGUGAGAUGUUGGGUUAAGUCCCGCAACGAGCGCAACCCUUAUCAUUAGUUGCCAUCAUUCAGUUGGGCACUCUAAUGAGACUGCCGGUGACAAACCGGAGGAAGGUGGGGAUGACGUCAAGUCCUCAUGGCCCUUAUGGGUAGGGCUUCACACGUCAUACAAUGGUCGGUACAGAGGGUUGCCAACCCGCGAGGGGGAGCUAAUCUCACAAAGCCGAUCGUAGUCCGGAUCGCAGUCUGCAACUCGACUGCGUGAAGUCGGAAUCGCUAGUAAUCGUGGAUCAGCAUGUCACGGUGAAUACGUUCCCGGGUCUUGUACACACCGCCCGUCACACCAUGGGAGUGGGUUUCACCAGAAGUAGGUAGUCUAACCGCAAGGAGGGCGCUUACCACGGUGGGGUUCAUGACUGGGGUGAAGUCGUAACAAGGUAGCCGUAGGGGAACCUGCGGCUGGAUCACCUCCUUUAUG